RNAcentral lists this ribosomal RNA (444 nucleotides) under Triticum aestivum (bread wheat). RNAcentral describes it as "partial small subunit ribosomal RNA". The record is from RNAcentral. Lineage: Eukaryota; Viridiplantae; Streptophyta; Magnoliopsida; Poales; Poaceae.
AUGGGGAUGGGGCCCCUAGAUCUGGCGCCGGGCAGUGGGGGGAGACCGAGGCCACUCGGACCUCGCGCCGUCCUCCACUUCACCGCACUCAGUGAGGCCGCGUCCCCAUCCACAAGCGCGCUCUCGAAGCAGUGGUACGAGCUACGGUGCUCCUCGGGUGCCAUGAACCUGCGUGCGUCCCCGAGCCCAGGUUCGAGUUCAUGGCUCUCUCCCAGCAUCAGAGUCAUCUUUGCUAGUUCAUUGCAGCAACUCCAGCCGAGGAAGCAAAUGGCGGUUACUCUGAAGCUCGGGACCCUCGCCGUGGCGGCAGCCGCCGCCGUCAUGGUCGGCACGGUCUCCGCGGCCGAUGGACCAGCUCCUGCGCCUGCGUCUGGCGCGUCGGCUGCCGCCCCGGCUGUCGCCAUGGCGUCCCUGACCGCGCUCGUCUUCGGCUACUUCUUCUGA